GUCACAGUGGCCGAGUGGUUAAGGCGAUGCCCUGCUAUUCUUUGAAAGUAGUUAAGGCAUUGGGUUCUACCUGCGCAGGUUCGAAUCCUGUCUGUGACG
The sequence is a transfer RNA, 99 nucleotides long. It matches the Rfam family "tRNA". Rfam says of the family: Transfer RNA (tRNA) molecules are approximately 80 nucleotides in length. Their secondary structure includes four short double-helical elements and three loops (D, anti-codon, and T loops). Further hydrogen bonds mediate the characteristic L-shaped molecular structure. tRNAs have two regions of fundamental functional importance: the anti-codon, which is responsible for specific mRNA codon recognition, and the 3' end, to which the tRNAs corresponding amino acid is attached (by aminoacyl-tRNA synthetases). tRNAs cope with the degeneracy of the genetic code in two manners: having more than one tRNA (with a specific anti-codon) for a particular amino acid; and 'wobble' base-pairing, i.e. permitting non-standard base-pairing at the 3rd anti-codon position. The record is from Rfam.